This 497-nucleotide ribosomal RNA is filed under the name uncultured bacterium. RNAcentral's name for it is "partial 16S ribosomal RNA". It matches the Rfam family "Bacterial small subunit ribosomal RNA", at positions 28 to 507 of the family's 1533-position model. The record is from RNAcentral.
GAUGAACGCUGGCGGCGUGCCUAAUACAUGCAAGUCGAGCGAACAGACGAGGAGCUUGCUCCUCUGACGUUAGCGGCGGACGGGUGAGUAACACGUGGAUAACCUACCUAUAAGACUGGGAUAACUUCGGGAAACCGGAGCUAAUACCGGAUAAUAUAUUGAACCGCAUGGUUCAAUAGUGAAAGACGGUUUUGCUGUCGCUUAUAGAUGGAUCCGCGCCGCAUUAGCUAGUUGGUAAGGUAACGGCUUACCAAGGCAACGAUGCGUAGCCGACCUGAGAGGGUGAUCGGCCACACUGGAACUGAGACACGGUCCAGACUCCUACGGGAGGCAGCAGUAGGGAAUCUUCCGCAAAGGGCGAAAGCCUGACGGAGCAACGCCGCGUGAGUGAUGAAGGUCUUCGGAUCGUAAAACUCUGUUAUUAGGGAAGAACAAAUGUGUAAGUAACUAUGCACGUCUUGACGGUACCUAAUCAGAAAGCCACGGCUAACUACGUG